CUGCGGCGCCUGCUGAGGGCGGCGGCUCGCCACGACCUGCUCAGGUGUGUGACGCUCAAGAGGCCGCGGCCAGUGUCACCUGAGCGUGUCACCUGUGUCCCGGCCCUGGGGGGCACCUGCCCGAGCCCCGCCCAGCCCCGCCCCGAGCACUGGGAGACAGGCUCCAGUUCCGGUUCCAGUUCCGGGAAAAGGAAACGAAAUUCCCAAAAUUCCCAAAAUAAUUCCCGAAAUAAUUCCCGAAACUCUCAGAAUUCCCAAAACAAUCCC
Non-coding RNA from Sturnus vulgaris (Common starling), 267 nucleotides. NCBI's taxonomy places the organism in Eukaryota, Metazoa, Chordata, Aves, Passeriformes, Sturnidae. The record is from RefSeq and is a predicted model, not a curated record.